This 255-nucleotide ribosomal RNA is filed under the name uncultured bacterium. RNAcentral describes it as "partial 16S ribosomal RNA". It matches the Rfam family "Bacterial small subunit ribosomal RNA", at positions 793 to 1055 of the family's 1533-position model. The record is from RNAcentral.
GUCCACGCCGUAAACGAUGCUAACUCGUUUUGGGGCUUCGGCUUCAGAGACUAAGCGAAAGUGAUAAGUUAGCCACCUGGGGAGUACGUUCGCAAGAAUGAAACUCAAAGGAAUUGACGGGGCCCGCACAAGCGGUGGAUUAUGUGGUUUAAUUCGAUGAUACGCGAGGAACCUUACCAAGGCUUAAAUGGGAAUUGAUCGGUUUAGAAAUAGACUUUCCUUCGGGCAAUUUUCAAGGUGCUGCAUGGUUGUCGU